This 287-nucleotide long non-coding RNA is filed under the name Dromaius novaehollandiae (emu). RNAcentral describes it as "lncRNA (ENSDNVG00000011527.1)". Lineage: Eukaryota; Metazoa; Chordata; Aves; Casuariiformes; Dromaiidae. The record is from RNAcentral.
CUUCAGCUCAGGAAAUGUCAGAUGGGUGGAGAAGAGGAUCUGUAGUAUAAGCAUGCUGUGUUGGGGAAGAGCUAGACUGCAAAGGACUAGGAAUGGGAACACUGAAUUUCCUACCUGACUCUGCACUGGACUUAUUUUAAGACUUUGGCAAAGCUUCUACUAGAGAAACCAGGACUUUGUUAUGGAGAACAGGAGAGGUGCCUGAGGACUGGAAGAAAGCAAAUGUCACUCCAGUCUUCAAAAAGGACGAGAAGGAGGACCCAGAGAACUACAGGCCAGUCAGCCUC